AUACAUGCAAGUCGAGCGGACAGAAGGGAGCUUGCUCCCGGAUGUUAGCGGCGGACGGGUGAGUAACACGUGGGUAACCUGCCUGUAAGACUGGGAUAACUCCGGGAAACCGGAGCUAAUACCGGAUAGUUCCUUGAACCGCAUGGUUCAAGGAUGAAAGACGGUUUCGGCUGUCACUUACAGAUGGACCCGCGGCGCAUUAGCUAGUUGGUGAGGUAACGGCUCACCAAGGCGACGAUGCGUAGCCGACCUGAGAGGGUGAUCGGCCACACUGGGACUGAGACACGGCCCAGACUCCUACGGGAGGCAGCAGUAGGGAAUCUUCCGCAAUGGACGAAAGUCUGACGGAGCAACGCCGCGUGAGUGAUGAAGGUUUUCGGAUCGUAAAGCUCUGUUGUUAGGGAAGAACAAGUGCAAGAGUAACUGCUUGCACCUUGACGGUACCUAACCAGAAAGCCACGGCUAACUACGUGCCAGCAGCCGCGGUAAUACGUAGGUGGCAAGCGUUGUCCGGAAUUAUUGGGCGUAAAGGGCUCGCAGGCGGUUUCUUAAGUCUGAUGUGAAAGCCCCCGGCUCAACCGGGGAGGGUCAUUGGAAACUGGGAAACUUGAGUGCAGAAGAGGAGAGUGGAAUUCCACGUGUAGCGGUGAAAUGCGUAGAGAUGUGGAGGAACACCAGUGGCGAAGGCGACUCUCUGGUCUGUAACUGACGCUGAGGAGCGA
Molecule: ribosomal RNA, 722 nt
Filed under: Bacillus altitudinis
Lineage: Bacteria; Bacillati; Bacillota; Bacilli; Caryophanales; Bacillaceae
Description: bacterial SSU rRNA
Rfam family: Bacterial small subunit ribosomal RNA
Source: RNAcentral